RNAcentral lists this long non-coding RNA (1653 nucleotides) under Citrus sinensis (sweet orange). RNAcentral describes it as "long non-coding RNA (CSIN_LNC002088)". Lineage: Eukaryota; Viridiplantae; Streptophyta; Magnoliopsida; Sapindales; Rutaceae. The record is from RNAcentral.
CCCAAUCAAAACAAUGUAUCAAUGAAAAAAUAAGUUCUGCUUAUGGUGAGAACAACCGGAAUGUUUAAAGAAUUUUCUUUGCUUUUUUGCUUCCUUUAUUCAUUAGUUGGUGGCUUAUUUAUAAUAGCAAGUUACAAUACGAAGUAGUAGUUGAAUCAAACUAAACAACCUCAGCAAAGAGUUAUCACAAGCUACAAUAUGAAAUAGCAGUUGAAUCAAACUAAACAACCUCUGGCAAGUUCUUGCACGUGCAUGGAAGCAUGCAUGUAUCAUGCAUGACCAGCAUGGAGACAAACUCGUUAUCAUGGAACUUGGCAUUAGGCUUUGGCUUCUUCAGAGAUCUUCUCUUAUCAAUAUCCCCACCACGAAAAGGAUCCUUGUCCUCAAGGGUCAAGGAAGGAAACAAUUUUCACUCCUCUAUUGAACUUUCAUCAUACGUAGCUUCUUUCAUCUUGCUUUCACUGUCAAAAAUAAAAAGCUGCGCCUUGCUAUUGCAGUUAAAGCAUAGCCCUUGUGCGCGGCGCCGUUGCAUCUCCUCCCAUGAAAGUCGUUUGAUGGGUGUUGCUGGUGGCGUUUGGGUGAUGGUCGGCUGUGCACGGUUGCUGGUUAGUAAUUGGAACAAUUUCUGUUGCCUAGACAUCUGCUCAUCCUUCAUUCGUGGUAGGCUUAUUGCUUCCUUCAAUGUACGAGGUCUGAACAUUCGGAUCUCCUUCGAAAUUUCAGAUUUCAGUCCCCCCAUAAAGGUACCCACCAGCGCCUUCUGUGUCCACCCUUGAACACGAUUACCUAACUUUUCAAAUUCUUUCUGAUACUCACGUAAUGUUCCUAUUUGUUCGACCUGUGAUAGUGCUUCAUCGAAAUCUUCACAGUCCGUUGGUUCGAAGAGUGCCCAAAGUUCCUCUACGAACGUCUCCCAUGUCACAAUUCUGCCCUCUUCUUGGUAAGUUCGGUGUAGCCACUGCCACCAUUGAUUGGCCUCUCCUUCUAGAUGAAAAGACGCCAAAGCUACCUUCUGUUCAUUGGUCGUUUCCUGAUACUCAAAGAAUUGUGUUGUUCGGUUGAACCACUCUGUUGGAUCGUCGCCGAAGUAACGAGGGAAUUCCAGUUUUGCUAUCCUUGGUGGUAUUGGUGGCCGUCCUCCUUCACUUUCUUCUCGAAUUGGCCUUGCUAUAGAACUAGCGUUCCCUUGACUUGUUGCUCCCCUACUAGCACUAAAGGACUCGGCUAACUUACUGAUGGCGUCUUCCAUUCGUUGAAGCUUAUCAUUGAUUCCGAAUUCCAUCCGUGAUAUUCUUUCCUACAAGCUUUCCAAGUCAGCUUCAAUUCUCUCAAUACGUUCUUUGUUGGUGGUCAUUGUUAACCUUGCUCUGAUACCACUUGAUGCAGUCCCAAUCAAAACAAUGUAUCAAUGAUGAAAUAAGUUCUGCUUAUGGUGAGAACAACCGGAAUGUUUAAAGAAUUUUCUUUGUUUUUUUGCUUCCUUUAUUCAUUAGUUGCUGGCUUAUUUAUAAUAGCAAGUUACAAUACGAAGUAGUAGUUGAAUCAAACUAAACAACCACAGCAAAGAGUUAUCACAAGCUACAAUAUGAAAUAGCAGUUGAAUCAAACUAAACAACCUCUGGCAAGUUCUUGCACGUGCAUGGAAGCAUGCAU